This 450-nucleotide ribosomal RNA is filed under the name uncultured bacterium. RNAcentral's name for it is "bacterial SSU rRNA". It matches the Rfam family "Bacterial small subunit ribosomal RNA", at positions 354 to 796 of the family's 1533-position model. The record is from RNAcentral.
GUGGGGAAUAUUGGACAAUGGGCGAAAGCCUGAUCCAGCCAUGCCGCGUGUGUGAAGAAGGUCUUCGGAUUGUAAAGCACUUUAAGUUGGGAGGAAGGGCAGUAAGUUAAUACCUUGCUGUUUUGACGUUACCGACAGAAUAAGCACCGGCUAACUUCGUGCCAGCAGCCGCGGUAAUACGAAGGGUGCAAGCGUUAAUCGGAAUUACUGGGCGUAAAGCGCGCGUAGGUGGUUUUGUAAGUUGGAGGUGAAAUCCCCGGGCUCAACCUGGGAACUGCCUCCAAAACUGCAUGACUAGAGUACGGUAGAGGGUAGUGGAAUUUCCUGUGUAGCGGUGAAAUGCGUAGAUAUAGGAAGGAACACCAGUGGCGAUGGCGACUACCUGGACUGAUACUGACACUGAGGUGCGAAAGCGUGGGGAGCAAACAGGAUUAGAAACCCUUGUAGUCC